GAAAUGCGAUAAGUAGUGUGAAUUGCAGAAUUCAGUGAAUCAUCGAAUCUUUGAACGCACAUUGCGCCCCUUGGUAUUCCAUGGGGCAUGCCUGUUCGAGCGUCAUUUGUACCCUCAAGCUCUGCUUGGUGUUGGGUGUUUGUCCUGUCUCCGCGCGUGGACUCGCCCCAAAGUGAUUGGCAGCCGGCGUACUGGUCCCGGAGCGCAGCACAUGUCGUGCAAACGAGUGCCUUGGUACGGCGGCGUCCAUAAGCCCCUCUCUCACGCUCUUGACCUCGGAUCAGGUAGGGAUACCCGCCGAACUUAAGC
RNAcentral lists this unclassified non-coding RNA (309 nucleotides) under plant metagenome. RNAcentral's name for it is "partial contains 5.8S ribosomal RNA, internal transcribed spacer 2, and large subunit ribosomal RNA". The stretch from base 1 to 105 matches the Rfam family "5.8S ribosomal RNA", at positions 50 to 154 of the family's 154-position model. The record is from RNAcentral.